This is an RNA transcript of Acanthopagrus latus (yellowfin seabream), 3236 nucleotides long. It is a transcript of the gene named homeodomain-interacting protein kinase 1-like, with no coding region annotated. The record is from RefSeq and is a predicted model, not a curated record. The transcript is spliced from 11 exons. Lineage: Eukaryota; Metazoa; Chordata; Actinopteri; Spariformes; Sparidae.
GACAGUCUCAGCUUUCCAACAGUGUGUGGCAUGAGUACAUACUGUUAAGAUCUGAUGCUUAAAACUAUUAGCAAAGUUUUUACAACGUUGUGGAGCGCCCUUUCUUAGUGAAGGGUCUUCCUUUGUUGGAACGGUUUUCCUUAACAGGUUAAAGUAGAUUUAUCUUGAAUUUAACGACAAUGUACCCAACAUUAACAUUCAGUGGAAAUUCCCUUAAUUAUGCUUAGACCCCAGACCUGAUCAGAUCAGAUGAUCACUGAAAUGUGGAAUAUUAAGUAAAUAAAAGAAGAGAAAGAAACCACUGGAUGGUAGCAAAAUAAAUAUAAACUAUUUAUCACAAAAUCUGAAACAUAGUUAUGGGCCUUCAAAGUAACUUCUUUUUCUUCUUUUCACCUGUUUUGUUUCCACAGUCUAAGAGAGAGAUGGCACCUUCCAAAGCUGUUGCUGCUCGCCUUUUCGAACUCCCCAGAAGAUAUACGUUCCUGAAAUUUCUUGGAGAGGGCGCCUUUUCAAAGGUGGUGAAAUGUUUGGACGAGGAGACUGGUGAGACUGUGGCUAUAAAGUUGCCUAGACGCCGGUGCCAACAAACCAUGCAUGAGAUUUCCAUACUGAAAAUGAUCAAGAUCCUCAACCUUGACAAACACAACAUUGUCAAGUACAUUGAUUGUUUUCCGACCAGCUCCGGCAAGGCGUUUGUGUUCGAGUCGCUCGAUAUAAGCCUUCAUGACUACUUUAAGAAGACAGAUUGUGCCCCUAUGCUUCUGAGUGACAUCAGAACCAUCAUCCAACAGAUGGCCACAGCAUUUAAGGCACUGAAGGAGAUCGAGCUGAUCCACACUGACGUCAAACUGGAUAACAUUAUGAUGGUGAAUCACAGACGACGGCCGUUUGAAGUCAAGCUGAUAGACUUUGGUGUGGCCAUGCAUGCAUCAGAUGUCAGGAUAGGCCAGACUGUCCAACCACUAAUUUUUCGGUCUCCAGAAAUUUUUUUGGGCCGUGAGUUUACUGAGGCCUCUGAUAUGUGGACCCUGGGCUGUGCCAUGUUUCAGAUGAUCUGCGGCUGUCAACCGUUCUCAGGAGAAAAUGAAUACGAAAUAGUGCGGAGCAUUGUUGAACUCGUGGGUGAGCCAAAUACAUUAUAUCUUCGUGGCUGUGAGUGUGCUUUUUUUUACUUCAAAGAGCUUGACUACUACCAUUGGAGGAUCAAGACUCCCUCUGAAUAUUACAGAAAAGCUCGCAAGAAAAGACCCAGAAAGAGCCACCAGUUCAAGUCUCUGGAUGAUAUGAAAGCAAUGCGUCUGGAAGAAAAUAACCAGACUGAAGCUGUAGAGCGAGAGCAGUGUAUCGAGCUUCUGAAGGCUAUGCUGACAGUGGUUGACUGGGAGAGGAUCACUCCCUGUGAAGUUCUCGCUCAUCCAUUCAUCACGAAAGACUACACAAAUGUCCAGACUGAUGGACUCAAGACAUUGAGAAGUUCAAGUGAGGACUUUGAAUGUGAGCCUCUUGCCGCUCCACUGAAGGACAGCAGCAGUAUCAUCCAACCAGACGGCUGCACUCCAUCUCCUGAAAUUCUGCCAUCAGGUGCGAUUCUGGUUCAGCCUGCGACUGCCGAGAACUCAACCUCACUGGAAGACCAGGAGAGUGCAGUUAGUGAGCCUCCUACCGCUCCUCUGGAGGAUGAAGACAGGAGUGUCAUCCAACCAGACGGCUGCACUCCAUCUCCUGAAAUUCUGCCAUCAGGUGUGAUUCUGGUUCGGCCUGCGACUGCCGAGAACUCAACCUCACUGGAAGACCAGGAGAGUGCAGUUAGUGAGCCUCCUACCGCUCCUCUGGCGGAUGAAGACAGGAGUGUCAUCCAACCAGACGGCUGCACUCCAUCUCCUGAAAUUCUGCCAUCAGGUGCGAUUCUGGUUCGGCCUGCGACCGCCGAGAACACAACCUCACUGGAAGACCAGGAGAGUGCAGUUAGUGAGCCUGCUACUGCUCCUCUGGAGGAUGAAGACAGGAGUGUCAUCCAACCAGACGGCUGCACUCCAUUUCCUGAAAUUCUGCCAUCAGGUGUGAUUCUGGUUCGGCCUGUGACCGCCGAGAACUCAACCUCACUGGAAGACCAGGAGAGUGCAGUUAGUGAGCCUCCUACCGCUCCUCUGGCGGAUGAAGACAGGAGUAUCAUCCAACCAGACGGCUGCACUCCAUCUCCUGAAAUCCUCCCAUCAGUCCUGAUCCAGACUCCACCUGCGAGAGCCGAGAACACAACACUGCUGGAAGAUCAGGAGAUUCAAGUUAGUUUUCAGUCUGUCCUGGACAAGACAUCAGAGUCCUCAGUGAGCGACGCUGGCGAUAACACAAAGAUAUGCGAGGAUUCAACCACAUGUGAAGACACCGGGACAAAGAAGAAGAAGAAGAAUUGCUUCCAACGCGUUCUCUCUUGGUUGAGGAAGAGGUUCAGCUGCCGUGUUUCCCCCAUUGUUUAGGGAUGUGUAAUGUUCUGUGUAGGGUUUCUUUAUUGGCUUCUGGGGGGGUUUUCAAUCAAAACUGUCACAGUCUGCAUAGUCUCCCAUGUUUGGUUUUCUCCAGGUGCUCUGGUUUUUCCAACAAACAUGAAAUGUGUUUUGAAAAAAAAUAUUCGUUCUGGGAGAACUCUGAUUGCAGACAAUGACACAUGUCAGUAUUUGCUUGAAAAAGCCCCCAUAUUGCCUGAAUGCCCUAUAACAGAAAUACAGCACAUUCCCUGCAAUUGAGGCUGAAAUGUAGUUUUCAGUCUGUGCUGGACAAAACAUCAGAGUCCUCAGUGAGCGACGCUGGCGAUAACACAAACAUAUCUGAGGAUUCAACCACAUGCGUUAAGUAACAGUCAACUCUACUUGUGUCUCAGUUGUUGUGCAUUUUGAUGUAAGGCUCAGAUAUUUUAUGUCCGUUGAUUUUUAGAAGACACCGGGACAAAGAAGAAGAAGAAGAAUUGCUUCCAACGCGUUCUCUCUUGGUUGAGGAAGAGGUUCAGCUGCCGUGUUUCCCCCAUUGUUUAGGGAUGUGUAAUGUUCUGUGUAGGGUUUCUUUAUUGGCUUCUGGGGGGGGUUUCAAUCAAAACUGUCACAGUCUGCAUAGUCUCCCAUGUUUGGUUUUCUCCAGGUGCUCUGGUUUUUCCAACAAACAUGAAAUGUGUUUUGAAAAAAAAUAUUCGUUCUGGGAGAACUCUGAUUGCAGACAAUGACACAUGUCAGUAUUUGCUUGAAAAA